GGGGCCUUAGCUCAGCUGGGAGAGCGCCUGCAUGGCAUGCAGGAGGUCAGGGGUUCGAUCCCCCUAGGCUCCACCA
RNAcentral lists this transfer RNA (76 nucleotides) under Tropicibacter naphthalenivorans. RNAcentral describes it as "tRNA_Ala_GGC". It matches the Rfam family "tRNA". From Rfam's summary of the family: Transfer RNA (tRNA) molecules are approximately 80 nucleotides in length. Their secondary structure includes four short double-helical elements and three loops (D, anti-codon, and T loops). Lineage: Bacteria; Pseudomonadati; Pseudomonadota; Alphaproteobacteria; Rhodobacterales; Roseobacteraceae. RNAcentral also lists the same sequence under 52 other names. The record is from RNAcentral.